GUUAGAUGGCGUGCUUUCACUAAAAGACUGAAAAUGAGAUAUUACUAUUUACGGAGAAAGAAGUACCCUAGACACUGAUCUGAGGUCAGACUUGGUGUUUUAGUCCUACAAAGGGGGCCUGACAGGAUUGGAAAAGUUGGAUAAAGACGAAGUAGCCCCAAGACACUGAUCUGAGGUCAGAUUUGUGUUUUUGGCCUGUAAGUAGGCCCUGACAGGAUUGGAUAGGUGCAAUCAAGGUGUAGAAAUGUCCACAGAGCCUUUCAAAGAGUACGGUGGACCUACAGUACAGCUUUAAUACAGGUCCUAAUGGCUGUCCUGGGAUCAGAUUACCCUGACUAAAUACUAACCAAACCAUUAAAGAGUAAGGUGGAUCUACAGUACAGCUUUAAUACAGGUCCUAAUGGCUGUCCUAGGAUCAUUACCUGACUAAAUACUAACCAAACCAUUAAAGAUCUAAAUCAUAUCAGAUAUACAGGGGCCAAUAUGGAAUGUAGUAUGUUGCUUUAUGAUGAGUCACUCACCCACUGUAGGUCUCUGAAACACAGGAGUACUCUGUGCAGCUCUGACCAGCUCGUCUUUGUAGGAAGUCAGCAGUUGGGUCUGGACUCUUUCUCCCAUGAUCCUUUGCUGAUACUCCUCUGGGUUCUAACCGGUGGGACUGGCUGAUGAGGUGGUAAAUGUAGUCAUUGGACUUUUUUCUGUUAUGUAACAUUCUACACGUUGGAGUUUGACCUGAGCAAGGCUCUACAACAGGAUAUUUAGUGAUUUCUCAAUCUUUAGUAUUUUUUAAUAUUAGGAAAUAAGCAAGUCAAGAAUAGUUAAGAACUUACUCUGACACACAUCCAUCUCAGCUCAGCCGGGGAUAAGGAGACUCUCACAACAAACACCCUCUUCAUUGAGUUGAAUUGAGUUCAGGAUAAACAACAGAGGAAAAGUACAUCAACAUGAUGUCUUCAGGUGAGUGCUGUACCGUGAUGAUUAAAACCCAAACUUCCCUUACAUAUGGAAGAGGACAGUUCAGUAGUGAUACUCUACUAUGGUAGUGUAACAGCUUCCCUAUCAUAGAGAAGAGGACAGUUCAGUAGAGAUACUGUACUAUUGUAGUGUAACAGCUUCCCUAUCAUAUGGAAGAGGACAGUUCAGUAGUGAUACUGUACUAUUGUAGUCCAACAGAAUAGGGAACAUAAAACUGACAGGGAUGCCAAAGUAAAAUAUAACCACUUGUUUUGUUUUUAUUCUUUCAAGUAUCAGUAAAUGACAGAUCUGCUGAAUGCUGUUAAAUGCAGCAGAUUCUAAAUGAUUAAUA
RNAcentral lists this long non-coding RNA (1306 nucleotides) under Salmo salar (Atlantic salmon). Its description in RNAcentral is "lncRNA (ENSSSAG00000108188.1)". Lineage: Eukaryota; Metazoa; Chordata; Actinopteri; Salmoniformes; Salmonidae. The record is from RNAcentral.